ACUGAAUCAAGAAAAGUAACGCGGUAAUGGGUAAUUUAGCGCAGAGGAUGAUGAAAAUCGCUUAAAAGGACCAAGAAGACUACUCAAGGGCUGAAGAGAGAACAUUGAUGUGCAGUUAUGUUAUUCUCUUGGAAUGAGAACCAAUGCCUUCAUCUGUUUGCUUUUAUGAGUUCUUGUUAUGAGUGUACCCUGUCUUCUAACACACAUUCAAGGAAAAUACGUGUAAGGAUUCAAAGUUAUGUGUAGAUGAGGNCUUUCAGACUGCUGGGAACUGUUCAGACUAUCAACAUUAUCAAUAAGAUUAUCAAUAAAAUUUUUAUUCUGAUUGAAGUACCUUUGACAAGAAUAGCAUCACUUCCAGUUCAGCAGUUCGUUUCCCUGAUCAAGAAAUAUGUGAACAUUGGAUAUGCAAUACAGAAUCAAAUAAUUUUGGUUUUCAUUACCAAUAUUAUCAAUACACUAAAUUACCCAUACACAUCCGGGGACCAAAUCCAAAUGGUAGAGAAGAAAAUGGAUGGAUCUCCUCGCCACUAUCUCUCAGCCAGCGUUCUGGUUUGAAUGUUUCAGCAUCUUUGAAAUAAGUCUCUGACCGCGCAGCUGUGUAGCUGUUUUGCAAGAUUGGAGUCUUAGCAAAGAGAGAAGGAAAAUUCACAUGAGACUCACUUCAGAUUUAUGAUCAGCUAUGUUCUUUUUUAUGCUUACCCCUGCUUUAACAUUAUAGCCACAUAAAACAAUGUCUUGGUCGAGAACUCUUGUAACACCUAUUGCAAUACCAUCCAAUCUAAGAUAAGCAAAUUAAAAAGUAAGGGCUGC
RNAcentral lists this unclassified non-coding RNA (813 nucleotides) under Exaiptasia diaphana. Its description in RNAcentral is "neuropeptide FF receptor 2, transcript variant X2". Lineage: Eukaryota; Metazoa; Cnidaria; Anthozoa; Actiniaria; Aiptasiidae. The record is from RNAcentral.